This 754-nucleotide ribosomal RNA is filed under the name uncultured Actinomyces sp. RNAcentral's name for it is "bacterial SSU rRNA". It matches the Rfam family "Bacterial small subunit ribosomal RNA", at positions 28 to 776 of the family's 1533-position model. Lineage: Bacteria; Bacillati; Actinomycetota; Actinomycetes; Actinomycetales; Actinomycetaceae. The record is from RNAcentral.
GACGAACGCUGGCGGCGUGCUUAACACAUGCAAGUCGAACGCUGAAGCCUAGCUUGCUGGGUGGAUGAGUGGCGAACGGGUGAGUAACACGUGAGUAACCUGCCCUCUUCUUUGGGAUAACGCCCGGAAACGGGUGCUAAUACUGGAUAUUCACUGAUCUUCACAUGGGGGUUGGUGGAAAGGUUUUUUCUGGUGGGGGAUGGGCUCGCGACCUAUCAGCUUGUUGGUGGGGUGAUGGCCUACCAAGGCUUUGACGGGUAGCCGGCCUGAGAGGGUGACCGGUCACAUCGGGACUGAGAUACGGCCCAGACUCCUACGGGAGGCAGCAGUGGGGAAUAUUGCACAAUGGGCGCAAGCCUGAUGCAGCGACGCCGCGUGAGGGAUGAAGGCCUUCGGGUUGUAAACCUCUUUCGUCAGGGAACAAGGCAUUGCCUUUUUUGGUGGUGUUGAGGGUACCUGGAUAAGAAGCGCCGGCUAACUACGUGCCAGCAGCCGCGGUAAUACGUAGGGCGCAAGCGUUGUCCGGAAUUAUUGGGCGUAAAGAGCUCGUAGGCGGCUGGUCGCGUCUGUCGUGAAAACUUCCGGCUCAACCGGGGGCUUGCGGUGGGUACGGGCCGGCUAGAGUGCGGUAGGGGUAACUGGAACUCCUGGUGUAGCGGUGGAAUGCGCAGAUAUCAGGAAGAACACCGAUGGCGAAGGCAGGUUACUGGGCCGUUACUGACGCUGAGGAGCGAAAGCGUGGGGAGCGAACAGG